RNAcentral lists this ribosomal RNA (253 nucleotides) under uncultured bacterium. RNAcentral's name for it is "partial 16S ribosomal RNA". It matches the Rfam family "Archaeal small subunit ribosomal RNA", at positions 474 to 727 of the family's 1478-position model. The record is from RNAcentral.
UACCAGCACCUCGAGUGGUCAGGAGGUUUAUUGGGCCUAAAGCAUCCGUAGCCGGCUACGCAAGUCUCCGGUUAAAUCCAACUGCUCAACAGAUGGGCUGCCGGAGAUACUACAUAGCUAGGGAGCGGGAGAGGUAGACGGUACUCUGUGGGUAGGGGUAAAAUCCUCUGAUCCAUAGAAGACCACCAGUGGCGAAGGCGGUCUACCAGAACGCGUUCGACGGUGAGGGAUGAAAGCUGGGGGAGCAAACCGG